RNAcentral lists this signal recognition particle RNA (98 nucleotides) under Magnetococcales bacterium. Its description in RNAcentral is "signal recognition particle sRNA small type". It matches the Rfam family "Bacterial small signal recognition particle RNA". From Rfam's summary of the family: The signal recognition particle (SRP) is a universally conserved ribonucleoprotein involved in the co-translational targeting of proteins to membranes. Lineage: Bacteria; Pseudomonadati; Pseudomonadota; Magnetococcia; Magnetococcales. The record is from RNAcentral.
GGUUAGGCCGCACGCAAUGAAAACCCGUAAACCCCGUCAGGACCGGAAGGUAGCAGCGGUAGCGGUGCUUUUCGUGUGCCGUGCACGGCCUGGCCGGA